Triticum dicoccoides is the source of this 869-nucleotide long non-coding RNA. RefSeq lists it as uncharacterized. NCBI's taxonomy places the organism in Eukaryota, Viridiplantae, Streptophyta, Magnoliopsida, Poales, Poaceae. The record is from RefSeq and is a predicted model, not a curated record. The transcript is spliced from 4 exons.
CCAUGCUACUACUCCCAGCCACUCAAACCACCUACCCCCUAGUCAUCCCACCACUUCGGCCUUACAGAUCUGGCAUUGCGCACUUCUCCUCACUUCUCCUCUCCUCUCAGAUCUUCAUUUCUUCUCCCCUUCCCCUGUCCCCUGCAAUAUACAACAGUUACUUAGCAGCCUCAUCUUCCCCUUCCUAAACGAAUCCCCCUAUUGCAUCGCAGGCCUCCUCAUCCAAGAUGCCUAGUGAUCUGCCCAUCGGUUCAAGAUUGCUAAGAUUUGCAGACCCCCUCCAGCCCCUUGACCAAGCGCAAUAGAAAGUGUGACAAGUUCAGAGACUGUUAUUUCUUCAGUUACAUCGUGAAGUCUCAGUAUGCUUCGCACAUCUUUGAUUUCACUAUGGCUUGGGGCACCUUCAGAAAUUGGAAUCGUUAUUGAACCACCCAUUCUCUUCCCAGUUAUGUUUGCUACCGCAGUUUCUGUAAUAUGAACUAUGUCACAAUCAUCUACGCCAAUUCUCAUAGCACGGUCAUCAAGCAUGACAUUAAGCAUUAACCAAGCUGAAUGAUUAAGAUAGUUCAAGAUACAUUUUUUGCAGAUCCGAUGCUGUGAAUCUGCCCCGUCCCUUCGAAAUGUUACCAACACCACUGAACGCUCCUUUUGUGCUUGCACACUCUUCUAUUGGAUAUGAGUCCUUAGCAACAUCUAUCGGGCUACUGCUACUCAAUACAUCACCACGGAAUAACUCUCUCUUAUCGUCUUCUUCUUUAGAUCUGCCAGUUUCUAGCACAACCUGAACAGUAUUUCUCCAAAGAUUACUCAUGUGACCGGGCUACAUUUCAAAGCAUAUCUAACAUACAAAUGGAGAAUAUGUUACCUUA